RNAcentral lists this transfer RNA (74 nucleotides) under Caudoviricetes sp. RNAcentral's name for it is "tRNA-Pro". It matches the Rfam family "tRNA". Rfam says of the family: Transfer RNA (tRNA) molecules are approximately 80 nucleotides in length. Their secondary structure includes four short double-helical elements and three loops (D, anti-codon, and T loops). Lineage: Duplodnaviria; Heunggongvirae; Uroviricota; Caudoviricetes. The record is from RNAcentral.
CAGGGUGUAGCUCAGUUUGGUAGAGUGCUUGAUUUGGGUUCAAGUUGUCGCAGGUUCAAAUCCUGCCUCCCUGA